This 332-nucleotide long non-coding RNA is filed under the name Vombatus ursinus (common wombat). RNAcentral describes it as "lncRNA (ENSVURG00010006460.1)". The record is from RNAcentral. Lineage: Eukaryota; Metazoa; Chordata; Mammalia; Diprotodontia; Vombatidae.
UUCUCUAGGUGCUCAUCGUGCUUUUUAUUGAAAUCCAGGAAGAUCUUCACAUCUAGCCCUAUUUCAAAACAAUCAUCCGUGGCACAGGGGCUACAUGUGACUGAGAUAUUUGAGGAGUAAAGGAAAUGAUGGCGGCCAAUGGGUUCUUAAACUGGUGAAAGGGAAGCACAGGGAACCUGGGGCAAGACCAAAAACCGUUUGAAAUCAACAGAGCAGAGAAACCUGUCUUGCCCAAUCAGCCCCAGAAUCCUCUUCUUUCACAAGCUACUUUCUCAGGUUGUUAUUCUGUGGAUCACUAUAAUCUUCCCCAUUUGCCACUCCUGUCCAGUCAG